This is a long non-coding RNA of Engraulis encrasicolus (European anchovy), 1753 nucleotides long. RefSeq lists it as uncharacterized. The record is from RefSeq and is a predicted model, not a curated record. Lineage: Eukaryota; Metazoa; Chordata; Actinopteri; Clupeiformes; Engraulidae. The transcript is spliced from 5 exons.
AAGUGACUAAUCUCGUUGGUUGAGGCAAUAUUGGUCAAAUUAACUGUGACAUUGGUAACUAUUAAACAAACAAAUUGGUUAUCUAACAACUAAUAUCAUUGGUUAAGAACAAAUUGGUUGAUUUAACAAAGAUAUUGGUUAACUUUAAUAACAGAUUGGUUGAAAAAUGACUAAUAUCAUUGGUUAAGCAAAUGUUAACUAAGAGAUUGGUAACUGACGCAGGUCUGACGCUCAACGUCAAGUACGUAACUCUGCUUCUCAAUUUUCUGACAAAGCCGCCAUCUUGGUGCUGCAGGAAAGCCGUUUGAGAUAUUGGUGGAAUUCAAACACUUUGUGAGAUGACAGAAUAUUGCUGAAGGAUCCUACAUGGAAGCUGGCUGAUUACACGGAGUGAUUCCUCUGGUGUGGUGUACCUCAGAGAAAUAAACACUGUUGCAAGAGGUGAGAAGAUAUCCUUAUUGCUGGAUGGUUGCUCUCUGGUCGUACUUGAGCCCCCUGGACCAUGUCUGCAAAUGCUUCUGAACAUUGACAGAAUUUCUAAAGGAUCGCUGAGGACUCCCCCUCCAUGCGUGACAUCUUUGAGAAAUUUCCACGCUUUCUGGAGAUGCCAAGUUUGACUGGAACCAACUUUGCAUCCCUCGGCACUGACACUGAGAAGGUUUCAAGGACCCCACUACUAGGAGGCGAGAGUUUGACACGGCAUUGUCAUCACUGCCAUGGAUGACAACGUAACCAUUCCUGUUGCUGAUUGCCUGACUUGCGCAGUGACAAGCUUUUCAUGUUCUACUGGGUGUGUAACUUGGCAUAUCCACCACAGUUUAACUCUGUUUUUGCCUCUUUUGAAUAUGUGUACGAUAUAACCAUCUCAACCAACACGUGGGCCAAGGUACUGGAACAUUUCUCACUUCAAGUUGCUCUGUAGUCACUGGACAUUUUUUUAAACAUCUACGCAGUCACCACCAUUCCUCACCAUGUGCAUUUUAAUUACUUCUGAUUCCACUGACAUGCAGACUACAUCCUAUGCAAUUUCAGGUAAUUUACCUGGUACUGGAGAAACAGCAUUGUAUGCCAUUCUAAGUGAUACUUGCCUCGUUGUUUUGCAAAAAUCUACUGUUCUUUGAAUAUAACUUAAAGUAAGAUCAUGUUGACUCUGAGGUUUUCUCCGGUUGUCAAGCACAACCUUAACGUUUUGUAAGUAAGUAAUAGUCACAGGAUAUGCAUGCAUUUGUAAUUUGAGCACAAUCUUAAUGUUUUGUAAGUAAGUAAUAGUCACAGGAUAUGCAUGCAUUUGUAAUUUGAAUUUUCGUUGAAAACGGCUCACCAAGCAUAAAAUGUUACCUCUGCUUUUGAUUUUCCUUUUUUUUUAAAAUGUCCCUUAAUACCAGCCUGUCUUUUUGUUGUGUCCACACAACUUUACCAUCAUCAGUGUUGGGAAGGAACAGAUUGCUGUAAGUUACUGUAUCCCCAUCAUUUCAGAUCAGUGCUUUAAAGCCUUUUGAAAUUAAAUUGUUAAUAAACUUUGUGAAAACAAACUCAAAUCUUGGUUAUUGGUUAUGAUUGAUAUAGCUUUGAAACUGUUAAUUUGAAGUGAAGUAAUUGCAGUGUCCAUCUAACCAAGCAAAUCGGUUAAAAUUUUAACCAAUAUCUGUGUCGGACACAUAUUAAUCGAACAAAUUGGUCAAAACAACCAUUGGGGGAUUGGUACAUUUUUGACUUAUAAAGAUUGGUUAAACAUAACCAAUCUAUUGGUCAA